RNAcentral lists this long non-coding RNA (430 nucleotides) under Homo sapiens (human). Its description in RNAcentral is "non-protein coding lnc-MNX1-3:1". The record is from RNAcentral. Lineage: Eukaryota; Metazoa; Chordata; Mammalia; Primates; Hominidae.
GGAUUUAGAAUAGUCCAUAAAUUUGAGGGUUCGAGAAGAUUGACUCCAAUGUUGGAAGAAGUUCUGCUGUGGGUAAAAUGCUAUCAGACAGCAUUUCAUACUACAGAGAAACCUGGCAUGAAAGGAAGAGUCAAUCAAUGUGACAAACUUCAUUGUUGUCUUAUUUUAAGAAAUUGCAGCCAGGCAUGGCGACUCAUGCCUGUAAUCUCAGCCUCCCGAGUAGCUGGGAUUACAGGCACCUGCCACCACGCCCAGCUAAUUUUUGUAUUUUUAGUAGAGACGGGAUUUCACCAUGUUGGCCAGGCUGGUCUCGAACUCCUGACCUCAAGUUAUCCGCCUGCCUUGGCCUCCCAAAGUGUUGGGAUUAUAGGCGUGAGCCACCGCACCCAGCCCUCAUGUGAACUAUUUUAACAGUGUCAACUGUUAAAAU